AUUGAACGCUGGCGGCAGGCCUAACACAUGCAAGUCGAACGGUAACAGGAAGAAGCUUGCUUCUUUGCUUACGAGUGGCGGACGGGUGAGUACUGUCUCGGAAACUGCCUGAUGGUGGGGGAUAAUUACUGUAACCGGUAUCUAAUACCGCAUAACGUCGCAAGAGCAAAGCGGGGGACCUUCGGGCCUCUUGCCUUCGGAUGUGCCCAGAUGGGUUUAGCUAGUAGGUGGGGUAACGGCUCACCUAGUCGACGAUCCCUAGCUGUGCUGAGAGGUUGACCAGCAACACUGGAACUGAGAAACGGUCCAGACUCCUACGGGAGGCAGAAGUGGGGAAUAAUGCAAAAUGGGAGGAAGCCUGAAGGAGCCAUGCCGAGAGAAUGAAGAAGGCGUACGGGUUGUAAAGUACUAGCAGCAGGGAAGAAAGGAGUAAAGAUAAAACCUUUGCUGAUUGACGGUACACGAAGAAGAAGCCCAGGCUAACUACGUG
Molecule: ribosomal RNA, 490 nt
Filed under: uncultured bacterium
Lineage: Bacteria
Description: partial 16S ribosomal RNA
Rfam family: Bacterial small subunit ribosomal RNA
Source: RNAcentral